This 468-nucleotide ribosomal RNA is filed under the name uncultured bacterium. RNAcentral's name for it is "partial 16S ribosomal RNA". It matches the Rfam family "Bacterial small subunit ribosomal RNA", at positions 28 to 507 of the family's 1533-position model. The record is from RNAcentral.
GACGAACGCUGGCGGCGUGCUUAACACAUGCAAGUCGAACGGAAAGGCCCUGCUUUUGUGGGGUGCUCGAGUGGCGAACGGGUGAGUAACACGUGAGUAACCUGCCCUUGACUUUGGGAUAACUUCAGGAAACUGGGGCUAAUACCGGAUAGGAGCUCCUGCUGCAUGGGGGGGGUUGGAAAGUUUCGGCGGUUGGGGAUGGACUCGCGGCUUAUCAGCUUGUUGGUGGGGUAGUGGCUUACCAAGGCUUUGACGGGUAGCCGGCCUGAGAGGGUGACCGGCCACAUUGGGCCUGCGAUACGGCCCAGACUCCUACGGGAGGCAGCAGUGGGGAAUCUUGCACAAUGGGCGGAAGCCUGAUGCAGCAGCGCCGCGUGCGUGAUGCCGGCCUUCGGGUUGUAAACCGCUUUCGCCUGUGCCGAAGCGUGAGUGACGGUAAUGGGUAAAGAAGCACCGGCUAACUACGUG